This 1682-nucleotide ribosomal RNA is filed under the name human gut metagenome. RNAcentral describes it as "bacterial LSU rRNA". It matches the Rfam family "Bacterial large subunit ribosomal RNA", at positions 1262 to 2925 of the family's 2925-position model. The record is from RNAcentral.
CGAGAGGUUUGCUGGACGUAUCAGAAGUGCGAAUGCUGACAUAAGUAACGAUAAAACGGGUGAAAAACCCGUUCGCCGGAAGACCAAGGGUUCCUGUCCAACGUUAAUCGGGGCAGGGUGAGUCGGCCCCUAAGGCGAGGCUGAAAAGCGUAGUCGAUGGGAAACGGGUUAAUAUUCCCGUACUUGGAUAAACUGCGAUGUGGGGACGGAGCAGGUUAGGUUAUCGCACUGUUGGAUAUGUGCGUUUAAGUUUGUAGGUGGGAAGUUUAGGCAAAUCCGGACUUCUAUUCAACACUGAGAGAUGAUGACGAGGCUCUACGGAGCUGAAGUAACCGAUACCACACUUCCAGGAAAAGCCACUAAGCUUCAGGUUUAUCUAAACCGUACUGAAAACCGACACAGGUGGUCAGGUAGAGAAUACUCAGGCGCUUGAGAGAACUCGGGUGAAGGAACUAGGCAAAAUAGCACCGUAACUUCGGGAGAAGGUGCGCCGGCGUAGAUUGUAGUCCCUUGCGGAUGAAGGUUGAACCGGUCGAAGAUACCAGCUGGCUGCAACUGUUUAUUAAAAACACAGCACUCUGCAAACACGAAAGUGGACGUAUAGGGUGUGAUGCCUGCCCGGUGCUGGAAGGUUAAUUGAUGGUGUAAUCGAAAGAGAAGCUCCUGAUCGAAGCCCCAGUAAACGGCGGCCGUAACUAUAACGGUCCUAAGGUAGCGAAAUUCCUUGUCGGGUAAGUUCCGACCUGCACGAAUGGCAUAAUGAUGGCCAGGCUGUCUCCACCCGAGACUCAGUGAAAUUGAAAUCGCCGUGAAGAUGCGGUGUACCCGCGGCUAGACGGAAAGACCCCGUGAACCUUUACUAUAGCUUGACACUGAACAUUGAAUUUUGAUGUGUAGGAUAGGUGGGAGCCUUUGAAGCAGUCACGCCAGUGAUUGUGGAGGCGUCCUUGAAAUACCACCCUUUAACGUUUGAUGUUCUAACGAAGAUUGCGAAACGUGGUCUCGGACAGUGUCUGGUGGGUAGUUUGACUGGGGCGGUCUCCUCCCAAAGAGUAACGGAGGAGCACGAAGGUUUGCUAAUCACGGUCGGACAUCGUGAGGUUAGUGCAAUGGUAUAAGCAAGCUUAACUGCGAGACAGACAAGUCGAGCAGGUACGAAAGUAGGUCAUAGUGAUCCGGUGGUUCUGAAUGGAAGGGCCAUCGCUCAACGGAUAAAAGGUACUCCGGGGAUAACAGGCUGAUACCGCCCAAGAGUUCAUAUCGACGGCGGUGUUUGGCACCUCGAUGUCGGCUCAUCACAUCCUGGGGCUGAAGUAGGUCCCAAGGGUAUGGCUGUUCGCCAUUUAAAGUGGUACGCGAGCUGGGUUUAGAACGUCGUGAGACAGUUCGGUCCCUAUCUGCCGUGGGCGUUGGAGAAUUGGUUGGGGCUGCUCCUAGUACGAGAGGACCGGAGUGGACGCACCACUGGUGUUCCGGUUGUGUCGCCAGACGCAUUGCCGGGUAGCUAAGUGCGGAAGAGAUAAGUGCUGAAAGCAUCUAAGCACGAAACUUGCCAAGAGAUGAGUUCUCCCAGAUUUAAAAUCUGUAAGGGUUGUUUAAGACUAAGACGUAGAUAGGUCUGGUGUGUAAGCGGUGCGAGCCGUUGAGCUAACAGAUACUAAUUGCCCGAGAGGCUUAACUAU